RNAcentral lists this ribosomal RNA (449 nucleotides) under uncultured bacterium. Its description in RNAcentral is "partial 16S ribosomal RNA". It matches the Rfam family "Bacterial small subunit ribosomal RNA", at positions 29 to 523 of the family's 1533-position model. The record is from RNAcentral.
AACGAACGCUGGCGGCAGGCCUAAAACAUGCAAGUCGAACGAUCUAGCAAUAGAUAGUGGCGCACGGGUGAGUAACACGUGGGAAUAUCCCUUUCACUACGGAACAACGUCGGGAAACUGACGCUAAUACCGUAUAAUGUCUCCGGACCAAAGAUUUAUCGGUGAAAGAUUAGCCCGCGUCUGAUUAGCUAGUUGGUGAGGUAACGGCUCACCAAGGCAACGAUCAGUAGCUGGUCUGAGAGGAUGAUCCGGCACACUGGAACUGAGACACGGUCCAGACUCCUACGGGAGGCAGCAGUUAGGAAUAUUGGACAAUGGGGGCAGCCCUGAUCCAGCCAUGCCGCGUGUGUGACGAAGGCCUUAGGGUUGUAAAGCACUUUCGUCUACGAAGAUAAUGACAGUAGUAGAAGAAGAAGCUCCGGCUAAAUUCGUGCCAGCCGCCGCCGUAA